This 628-nucleotide ribosomal RNA is filed under the name uncultured bacterium. RNAcentral's name for it is "bacterial SSU rRNA". It matches the Rfam family "Bacterial small subunit ribosomal RNA", at positions 56 to 731 of the family's 1533-position model. The record is from RNAcentral.
UGCAGUCGAGCGCACCCUUCGGGGCGAGCGGCGGACGGGUUAGUAACGCGUGGGAAUGUACCCUUCUCUAUGGAAUAGCCUCGGGAAACUGAGAGUAAUACCAUAUACGCCCUUCGGGGGAAAGAUUUAUCGGAGAAGGAUCAGCCCGCGUAAGAUUAGAUAGUUGGUGGGGUAAUGGCCUACCAAGUCUACGAUCUUUAGCUGGUUUUAGAGGAUGAUCAGCAACACUGGGACUGAGACACGGCCCAGACUCCUACGGGAGGCAGCAGUGGGGAAUCUUAGACAAUGGGCGCAAGCCUGAUCUAGCCAUGCCGCGUGUGUGAUGAAGGCCCUAGGGUCGUAAAGCACUUUCGCCAGGGAUGAUAAUGACAGUACCUGGUAAAGAAACCCCGGCUAACUCCGUGCCAGCAGCCGCGGUAAUACGGAGGGGGUUAGCGUUGUUCGGAAUUACUGGGCGUAAAGCGCACGUAGGCGGAUCAGAAAGUUGGGGGUGAAAUCCCAGGGCUCAACCCUGGAACUGCCUCCAAAACUCCUGGUCUUGAGUUCGAGAGAGGUGAGUGGAAUUCCGAGUGUAGAGGUGAAAUUCGUAGAUAUUCGGAGGAACACCAGUGGCGAAGGCGGCUCACUG